Molecule: long non-coding RNA, 503 nt
Organism: Bos taurus (domestic cattle)
Lineage: Eukaryota; Metazoa; Chordata; Mammalia; Artiodactyla; Bovidae
Source: Ensembl
CCUCCUCCCCACCCACCGACACCCACACCUCCUCCUUCGGCAACCCAGGCGCGGCCCCCCCAUAAGAGAAAGACUGCUUGGAAGGGACCUCAAGGGUGACACUGCAUUCACUCAUUCAGCCACCUCUUCAUUCAUUCCACAUCUGUGGACCAUCUAUGUGCCAGGGACUAGAAAGCUGCAAACUACACUUCCCACCUCGUUAGCUGGCUUCCUGUGGUUCUGGCGGCACCGUGGAGUUAAUGGAAGGUGGGAGAGGGAAGAGGCCAUUUCCCCUGCUCCUGGUGAUUCCUUUGACCGGUGACAGAGGCGGCAGAGUGACACGCAGCUUCUGACCCUACCCAGGCAGCUCGUUCCCAUCAACAGCAGACUCAGCGGCACCACGCCUGUGGACUCCAAGUACCUCAUGAGAAACGCUGGACUGGAAGAAACACAAGCUGGAAUCAAGAUUGCCAGGAGAAAUAUCAAUAACCUCAGAUAUGCAGAUGACACCACCCUUAUGGCAG